GCCAGUGUGGUGUAAUGGUUUAAGCAUUGGACUAUGGCUCUAGAGAUCAAGGUUCAAUUUCCUGCUCGGCCA
Molecule: non-coding RNA, 72 nt
Organism: Phrynosoma platyrhinos (Desert horned lizard)
Lineage: Eukaryota; Metazoa; Chordata; Lepidosauria; Squamata; Phrynosomatidae
Source: the annotation of a GenBank genome assembly